This is a long non-coding RNA of Mesocricetus auratus (golden hamster), 644 nucleotides long. RefSeq lists it as uncharacterized. The record is from RefSeq and is a predicted model, not a curated record. NCBI's taxonomy places the organism in Eukaryota, Metazoa, Chordata, Mammalia, Rodentia, Cricetidae. The transcript is spliced from 3 exons.
CACAGGCUGGCUGCCUUCCUCCCGGAUGUCUUUCACCUGGUGGAGAAGUGGCUCCUGGGUGUGAUUCAGCCCAGGUGCUGCUUGUGAGUAGCUUGACCUUCACUUCUGGUGUCUAACCACAGCCUGGCAGACGUCUUCUUCUACCAGAAGGACAACAUCGAAAAUGAGCCUAUGGUGCUGGCAACACAGCUCAAUAGAGUUCAAUUGUCCAAGGAGUCUCUGUCCUGCCACCGCUGACCUUGGGGACACUGAAGAUUGUCCUGUGCUGAAUCUGAAAUCGGGGAAGCCCAAACCUUGAACCUAGUGGUGGAAUACCUCCAGCCCAAAGCCAGACAAAGAACCAGGCCAAGCUCUCUGUGACAGUGCUUUGUCCCAGGAUAGACAGCAUCCAUCACUUCAGAUUCCAUCACCUAGCCACACUGGCGUCACCUGACUUUGUGUGAGCAGGCACGGCAAUGUGUCCAGGAGGACAAAGUCAGCUAAUGCUGUGUUUUCCAGAAUACACCCCAUGUAAUGUGACUUUGAUUGGGUUCCCUAGAGAAGUCGGAGAUGGAGAAGUUUAUCCCAGGCAGUCACUGAGGAAGACUAAUAAUAAUGAUAAUAAUAAUAAUAAAGGCUGAGUAGGUGUGUUCAGCUGAAGUCCA